Long non-coding RNA from Amaranthus tricolor (Joseph's coat), 1266 nucleotides. RefSeq lists it as uncharacterized. The record is from RefSeq and is a predicted model, not a curated record. The transcript is spliced from 3 exons. NCBI's taxonomy places the organism in Eukaryota, Viridiplantae, Streptophyta, Magnoliopsida, Caryophyllales, Amaranthaceae.
UCCUAAUUCCAUCUCCCUUCUCCCUUCUCCCUUCUCCCUUCUCCAUAUCCUUGUUAUUCUUUCUCACAUAUCUUUGCCGUGAAAAAUGGAGUUAUCCUCCAUUUUCACACUUUCCACCACCACACAUUUCACUCACUUCUUCCCACCUCUCAUUUUUUUCUCGUCGUCGGCGAUUCUCAACCUCGUUUCGUUCAAUCCUCCCACAAUUCUUCUUCCGAACCUCAUUCCACUUCUUCUUCUACUAUUCCUCCUCAUUACCCAACCAACUCCGCCGCCCUAAAACCAGUGCUCCCUUAAAGAAACAAAAGGAAACCCACCCAAAUCAUAUAAAUAUGAUAUGUUAAACGCGAUUACGCGAUGCUUAUCUUCCACUGCUUUCGCGCGAAAUUCUCUUGCUAACUUAUCGAAUUAGCGUCGAUCACGGAACACCGUACCACCAGCGCCGCCAUUAAGUAUCUGCCACCGUCGCCGCUCGCCACCGUCAUUGUCUGACAGUUGAUUUCAAGCAUAAUGAAGAAAGUGCGUGGACAAAUGAGAUCUAUAUCGAGAGCCACAUUUCCGAAAUGGACAGCAGUAAAGAAAAGUAGAAGAAAGUCGAUUGAGAGAAGAUAUUAUUAUGCGUAUCUACGCUUCUAAAACUUAUUAGCAAAAGUUAGCGUAUAUUCAUCACCUACGGUUGGGAGAUUUCAAGUCAACAUGACAAACAAAUGGUGAAAUAGACUCAAAAGACUGGCGAAAAACAUCAUCUCGAUCUUCAUCAGAUAUAUGGAAGCUCCUUUUAAAAACUUGGAUGUAAUUAGGUUUAAUGUUCAUGCUAUUUUAGACUGUAAACUACAACUAGCUUACACUUUUCUUCCCUAUCUCCUUCCCUUGCUUCUCCAAGGGAAUAUUUUGCAUGUUAGACGACUGAAAAACUACUGCAAGUGAUGUGUUAAAAGUUCAAACCAUGUUCUGAGGUACACAAACAUACAAAGCCCCCAAAUCAAAAAUAGAAAAAAAUCAUAUUGUAAUAACUUACUAAUAAGGUAGAGUAGUUAGGUACAGUUUUAGUUAGUAUAUCAAAUCAUCAAUGGUCAUAAGGUCAUACGAUCAAAUCUUAUCGAUUAUAAUUUUUUUCUUCUUUUUUUUAAUCUAUUUUUAAAGUAGUCAUUUUAACUCCAAACAUAUUUUGUUUUAUCAUUUACUUUUCAUUCAUUCAUUAAACAUCAACAAUCAUUAAAAAUAAUUAAGAUUUUAGUUCUUAAUUUUCAAUUCUUUAAACUUUUA